RNAcentral lists this ribosomal RNA (634 nucleotides) under uncultured Azospira sp. RNAcentral describes it as "bacterial SSU rRNA". It matches the Rfam family "Bacterial small subunit ribosomal RNA", at positions 897 to 1533 of the family's 1533-position model. Lineage: Bacteria; Pseudomonadati; Pseudomonadota; Betaproteobacteria; Rhodocyclales; Rhodocyclaceae. The record is from RNAcentral.
AAACUUAAAGGAAUUGACGGGGACCCGCACAAGCGGUGGAUGAUGUGGAUUAAUUCGAUGCAACGCGAAAACCUUACCUACCCUUGACAUGCCUGGAACCCUGGAGAGAUCUGGGGGUGCCCGAAAGGGAGCCGGGACACAGGUGCUGCAUGGCUGUCGUCAGCUCGUGUCGUGAGAUGUUGGGUUAAGUCCCGCAACGAGCGCAACCCUUGUCACUAGUUGCUACGCGAGGGCACUCUAGUGAGACUGCCGGUGACAAACCGGAGGAAGGUGGGGAUGACGUCAAGUCCUCAUGGCCCUUAUGGGUAGGGCUUCACACGUCAUACAAUGGUCGGUACAGAGGGUUGCCAAGCCGCGAGGUGGAGCCAAUCCCAGAAAGCCGAUCGUAGUCCGGAUUGCAGUCUGCAACUCGACUGCAUGAAGUCGGAAUCGCUAGUAAUCGCGGAUCAGCAUGUCGCGGUGAAUACGUUCCCGGGUCUUGUACACACCGCCCGUCACACCAUGGGAGUGGGGUUCACCAGAAGUAGGUAGCCUAACCGCGAGGGGGGCGCUUACCACGGUGAGCUUCAUGACUGGGGUGAAGUCGUAACAAGGUAGCCGUAUCGGAAGGUGCGGCUGGAUCACCUCCUUUAUG